AUUGAACGCUGGCGGCAUGCUUUACACAUGCAAGUCGAACGGUAACAGGCCGCAAGGUGCUGACGAGUGGCGAACGGGUGAGUAAUGCAUCGGAACGUGCCCAGUCGUGGGGGAUAACUACUCGAAAGAGUAGCUAAUACCGCAUACGAUCUAUGGAUGAAAGCGGGGGACCGUAAGGCCUCGCGCGAUUGGAGCGGCCGAUGUCAGAUUAGGUAGUUGGUGGGGUAAAGGCUCACCAAGCCAACGAUCUGUAGCUGGUCUGAGAGGACGACCAGCCACACUGGGACUGAGACACGGCCCAGACUCCUACGGGAGGCAGCAGUGGGGAAUUUUUGACAAUGGGCGCAAGCCUGAUCCAGCAAUGCCGCGGGCAGGAAGAAGGCCUUCGGGUUGUAAACUGCUUUUGUACGGAACGAAACGGCUCUGGUUAAUACCCGGGGCUAAUGACGGUACCGUAAGAAUAAGCACCGGCUAACUACGU
This 481-nucleotide ribosomal RNA is filed under the name uncultured bacterium. RNAcentral describes it as "partial 16S ribosomal RNA". It matches the Rfam family "Bacterial small subunit ribosomal RNA", at positions 30 to 506 of the family's 1533-position model. The record is from RNAcentral.